GACGAACGCUGGCGGCGUGCUUAACACAUGCAAGUCGAACGGAAAGGCCCUGCUUUUGUGGGGUGCUCGAGUGGCGAACGGGUGAGUAACACGUGAGUAACCUGCCCUUGACUUUGGGAUAACUUCAGGAAACUGGGGCUAAUACCGGAUAGGAGCUCCUGCUGCAUGGUGGGGGUUGGAAAGUUUCGGCGGUUGGGGAUGGACUCGCGGCUUAUCAGCUUGUUGGUGGGGUAGUGGCUUACCAAGGCUUUGACGGGUAGCCGGCCUGAGAGGGUGACCGGCCACAUUGGGACUGAGAGACGGCGCAGACUCCAACGGGAGGCAGCAGUGGGGAAUAUUGCACAAUGGGCGGAAGCCUGAUGCAGCAACGCCGCGUGCGGGAUGACGGCCUUCGGGUUGUAAACCGCUUUCGCCUGUGACGAAGCGUGAGUGACGGUAAUGGGUAAAGAAGCACCGGCUAACUACGUG
This 468-nucleotide ribosomal RNA is filed under the name uncultured bacterium. RNAcentral's name for it is "partial 16S ribosomal RNA". It matches the Rfam family "Bacterial small subunit ribosomal RNA", at positions 28 to 507 of the family's 1533-position model. The record is from RNAcentral.